CCUACGGGUGGCAGCAGUGAGGAAUAUUGGUCAAUGGGCGAGAGCCUGAACCAGCCAAGUCGCGUGAGGGAGUACUGCCCUAUGGGUUGUAAACCUCUUUUGUCGGGGAGCAAACGCAGGACGUGUCCGGCUGUGAGAGUACCCGACGAAAAAGCAUCGGCUAACUACGUGCCAGCAGCCGCGGUAAUACGGAGGAUGCGAGCGUUAUCCGGAUUUAAUUGGUUUAAAGGGUGCGCAGGCGGAUGUGUAAGUCAGCGGUCAAAUCGUGGGGCUCAACCCCAUCCAGCCGUUGAAACUGGGGAUCUAGAGUGUGCGAGAGGUAUGCGGAAUGCGUGGUGUAGCGGUGAAAUGCAUAGAGAGCACGAAGAACCACGAUUGCGAAGGCAGCAUACCGGUGCACAACUGACGCUCAGGCACGAAAGCGUGGGUAUCGAACAGGAGUAGAUACCCGUGUAGUC
RNAcentral lists this ribosomal RNA (458 nucleotides) under uncultured bacterium. RNAcentral describes it as "partial 16S ribosomal RNA". It matches the Rfam family "Bacterial small subunit ribosomal RNA", at positions 338 to 795 of the family's 1533-position model. The record is from RNAcentral.